Molecule: transfer RNA, 72 nt
Filed under: Camelus bactrianus (Bactrian camel)
Lineage: Eukaryota; Metazoa; Chordata; Mammalia; Artiodactyla; Camelidae
Also listed under: 1 other name
Rfam family: tRNA
About the family: Transfer RNA (tRNA) molecules are approximately 80 nucleotides in length. Their secondary structure includes four short double-helical elements and three loops (D, anti-codon, and T loops).
Source: Rfam by way of RNAcentral
AGGGGUAUAGCUCAGUGGUAGAGUGUGUGCCUAACAUGCAUGAGGUCCUAGGUUCAACCCCCAGUAUCUCCA